RNAcentral lists this long non-coding RNA (1657 nucleotides) under Marmota monax (woodchuck). Lineage: Eukaryota; Metazoa; Chordata; Mammalia; Rodentia; Sciuridae. The record is from RNAcentral.
GUCUGGAGUUCAGACCCAGGGCAUACUACACAAACGCCCUCCACUGAGUUACACCCCAGGCCUGAAGAGUACUUUAAAAUGCCAGUUUGAGUAGCUAUUGCCAUUUGGAUUGAUAAAUUCUGAUGCUGGGGGGCGGGAACUCUGCUUGACUCCCCAGUACUCCAUUGUUAGGAGUCCAGAGUUUCCUCCUGUGCAGUGAUUUUUAUACCUUAAGUCAUUUUCCCCCUCCUCACUCACUUUUCCAUCACCUUGUAAGUUGAUUCCCAUUGUGCCACUCCUUUUUUGGCAGGGAAUAUACUUAUAGCCCAGUUGUCACAAACAGCCAUUAGAGAGCUGGAGCUGCUGUAUCAGGCAUCUUGUGUCCUGGGUGUCCUGGGCCUGCCUACUGACUGGCCCGGGGCAGUGUUAUUACAGCAACCUUGCUCUCAACCCCAUCAUCAUCCUGAUGAUUGACAGGCGUUAGUCCUGCUGAUUGUCCGUUGGCACCUGAUUGAUGUUUCUUUCCCUGGCGGUCUGCUUUGUUCUAAGUCACCGCCACCGACCAGACAAAGAGUAACUUAAGUCACGAGUUUUAAAUUAAUCACAAUAACCAACAUGAAGGAAAAAAGAAAAAAAAUGGUGUCUACUCUUUUCAACCAACAAUUUAAGGUAUUUUCAUUUGGUCUUGAUUUCUAGUCCAGAUCUAUAAGUCUACACAAUGUUGGGGUAUCUAUAAAUAACAGUAGUUUAUAUGAUUAGAUAAAUAGGUAGGUAAGUAAGUAGGUAGAUAAAUAGAUAGAUAAUUUUUUCAGUACUGGAAAUUGAAUCCAGAAUCUUACACAUGGUAGGCAAGUGCUCUACCACUCAGCUAUAUUCCCAACUCUUUUUUUUUUUAAUUUUUUUUUUAUUUUGAGACAGGUCUUGCUAAGUUGCCAGGCUGGAUGUAAACCUGUGAUCCUCCUUCCUCAGCCUCCCAAGUAUCCGGAUCACAGGUGUGCACCACCAUACUUAGUUAUUGGAUAUAUUUAAAAAACAGAUUGCUAUGGUUUGGAUAAGUGUCCUCAAAAAGCCAUAUGUUGAGGUCUUUGUCUCCAACCCUCUAUUGAGAGUGAUGAAACCUUCAGUGGGUGGGUCCUAGUGGAAGGAUAUUAAGUCACUGGGGGUGUGACCUUGAAGGAGAUAUUGGAACUCCUGUCCCUUCCUCCUUCUCUUUGCUUCCCUACCUCCAAGAGGAAAACAGCCUUCUCCACCACGUACUGUGGUGUGCUGCCUUAUCACAGGCACAAAGCAAUAGACCAACUGAGCAUGGACUGGAAACUCCCCAAAUCAGGCCAAAGUAAACCUUUCCUCCUUUUAAGUUGAUUUAUCUCCAGUAUUUGUUACAGCAACAGAAAACAUGCUGAUUUUAUGUUGCAAAUGACUGAACCUUUGUCUGAGGACUGUGUGCACAAGAGACUAGAAUUUUAAAAAUUCCAACUUACAGGUUAACAUAUAUGCUUACUAAAACAUUAUUGUGUCACUGUUACUGCAUUGUGUAUUAUUAUUGUGCUGAGUAAAUACUGUUACUAUCCUGAAAUACUGUAUUACGAUUAAAUGACCCAGGUUAACACUCUAAGUUUUCUUUUUUAAAAUUGCAUUCUUAUUACACUGUAUUAAAAUUACAUGUUUAACAUUAAUU